GAUGAACGCUGGCGGCGUGCCUAAUACAUGCAAGUCGAGCGAACGGACGAGAAGCUUGCUUUUCUGAUGUUAGCGGCGGACGGGUGAGUAACACGUGGAUAACCUACCUAUAAGACUGGGAUAACUUCGGGAAACCGGAGCUAAUACCGGAUAAUAUUUUGAACCGCAUGGUUCAAAAGUGAAAGACGGUCUUGCUGUCACUUAUAGAUGGAUCCGCGCUGCAUUAGCUAGUUGGUAAGGUAACGGCUUACCAAGGCAACGAUGCAUAGCCGACCUGAGAGGGUGAUCGGCCACACUGGAACUGAGACACGGUCCAGACUCCUACGGGAGGCAGCAGUAGGGAAUCUUCCGCGAUGGGCGAAAGCCUGACGGAGCAACGCCGCGUGAGUGAUGAAGGUCUUCGGAUCGUAAAACUCUGUUGUUAGGGAAGAACAUAUGUGUAAGUAACUGUGCACAUCUUGACGGUACCUAAUCAGAAAGCCACGGCUAACUACGUG
This 497-nucleotide ribosomal RNA is filed under the name uncultured bacterium. RNAcentral's name for it is "partial 16S ribosomal RNA". It matches the Rfam family "Bacterial small subunit ribosomal RNA", at positions 28 to 507 of the family's 1533-position model. The record is from RNAcentral.